This 620-nucleotide ribosomal RNA is filed under the name Bacillus altitudinis. RNAcentral's name for it is "bacterial SSU rRNA". It matches the Rfam family "Bacterial small subunit ribosomal RNA", at positions 79 to 684 of the family's 1533-position model. Lineage: Bacteria; Bacillati; Bacillota; Bacilli; Caryophanales; Bacillaceae. The record is from RNAcentral. RNAcentral also lists the same sequence under 1 other name.
CUUGCUCCCGGAUGUUAGCGGCGGACGGGUGAGUAACACGUGGGUAACCUGCCUGUAAGACUGGGAUAACUCCGGGAAACCGGAGCUAAUACCGGAUAGUUCCUUGAACCGCAUGGUUCAAGGAUGAAAGACGGUUUCGGCUGUCACUUACAGAUGGACCCGCGGCGCAUUAGCUAGUUGGUGAGGUAACGGCUCACCAAGGCGACGAUGCGUAGCCGACCUGAGAGGGUGAUCGGCCACACUGGGACUGAGACACGGCCCAGACUCCUACGGGAGGCAGCAGUAGGGAAUCUUCCGCAAUGGACGAAAGUCUGACGGAGCAACGCCGCGUGAGUGAUGAAGGUUUUCGGAUCGUAAAGCUCUGUUGUUAGGGAAGAACAAGUGCAAGAGUAACUGCUUGCACCUUGACGGUACCUAACCAGAAAGCCACGGCUAACUACGUGCCAGCAGCCGCGGUAAUACGUAGGUGGCAAGCGUUGUCCGGAAUUAUUGGGCGUAAAGGGCUCGCAGGCGGUUUCUUAAGUCUGAUGUGAAAGCCCCCGGCUCAACCGGGGAGGGUCAUUGGAAACUGGGAAACUUGAGUGCAGAAGAGGAGAGUGGAAUUCCACGUGUAGCGGUGA